AGUGAACGCUGGCGGUAGGCCUAACACAUGCAAGUCGAACGGCAGCACAGUAAGAGCUUGCUCUUACGGGUGGCGAGUGGCGGACGGGUGAGGAAUACAUCGGAAUCUACUUUUUCGUGGGGGAUAACGUAGGGAAACUUACGCUAAUACCGCAUACGACCUACGGGUGAAAGCAGGGGAUCUUCGGACCUUGCGCGAUUGAAUGAGCCGAUGUCGGAUUAGCUAGUUGGCGGGGUAAAGGCCCACCAAGGCGACGAUCCGUAGCUGGUCUGAGAGGAUGAUCAGCCACACGGGAACUGAGACACGGUCCAGACUCCACGGGAGGCAGCAGUGGGGAAUAUUGGACAAUGGGCGCAAGCCUGAUCCAGCCAUACCGCGUGGGUGAAGAAGGCCUUCGGGUUGUAAAGCCCUUUUGUUGGGAAAGAAAAGCAGCAGGUUAAUACCCCGCUGUUCUGACGGUACCCAAAGAAUAAGCACCGGCUAACUUCGUG
This 491-nucleotide ribosomal RNA is filed under the name uncultured bacterium. Its description in RNAcentral is "partial 16S ribosomal RNA". It matches the Rfam family "Bacterial small subunit ribosomal RNA", at positions 29 to 507 of the family's 1533-position model. The record is from RNAcentral.